UUAUGAAUUUUGUUCCGUUGUCAAUGACUAUACGCUAAUUUUUAAUACGAAUUAUUGGUAUGUACGUACUCGUCGAAUAAGAAAAAUAUUGUAUCGCUUGUAAAGAGGAUUACACGCUUGGUUACUGUUAACGAUUUCAUGAAUAAGUGUUCGUGUAUAUUGCUUUCGUCGAACGAGAUCCACGAGAUCGAUCGUGAAUCGUUUCUUCACCCGCUCAGGUUGUCAGUAUACCUACGACGUAAUGCACAAAUAAUUGAAGAAAAUUUGGGUCAUUGUCUGUGUAAGUGUGCUUUUGUAGAUACCACGAUCAUAUCAGCGUAACGUAACGUAAUUUAAGAACGAUCUGUGUAGUAGGAUCUGGAUUAAUCUAUAUUAAGGCAAUUAAUGUUUUACCUUAUCGCAGCUUUUCGUAAUGAAACCAGUAACAAAGAUCGUGAUCUAGAUUGUCGGGUAAAUUUUGCCACGUUCAUUGGACAAGCAUCGAAUUAGAGAUAUUAUCAUAGCUUUAUUGCUUAUUCAGAUUACUAUCGUUUCGGAAAUGUAGUAGAUGAAAGUGCUGCGCUUGUACGAACAAUGAGUGACGAAGUUGUGUAUCUUUCACUUAGGUAUACUUACCAAGAGGGCAAAAUUGAUUGCACAAUUCAAAGGAAAUAGACGAGAAUUCGAUCGAGAGUAAAUUCGCGAACCUUUCGAAUAUUUAUACGCAUCGAGUUCAAUUACGACACGAGAUAUAACGAUUCGAAUUUCACAAAUCAAAGACAAAGCGGUACUGACCACGAAUCGGAAUUAUUUUUAUUUGCACAGUGCUCGAUUUUUUGCAAUCAUGAUUACAAUGUCUUUGUAACGUAUACGAAGGUCGAUGAGAGUGUUUCGCUGAAAUUCGAUGAAAAUGUAUUUACCGAAGGUUUCAUAGAUCAAUUGUCUUCGCAAAAUUUAUCAUGGGGCAUCCAUUUACCAUUGCAGAUCGAGCACGGGAAUACACGAUGUGAAAAUUGCGUUGUCAUUAGUGUAAUAAAUGCGUUAUUCUGUGAUAAAGCAUAAUGCUCGAGCGAAUAUGCGAAAUUCAAUGUGCGCGAGUAGAAACAACGUUUCUGGGUGAAAACGGAUGAUUAAUUCGGUUCGUGCCAAUUACUUUUUAGUCGACUGAUAAAGACCCGAAUAUACGACGUACAAACAUCACCACACGGUUGUAUGAUAAAUUAAUUAAUCGAUUAAAUGAUGGUUAAAAGAACGCGUAUCAUCGCUGUUGUACAUAGUACGAUAAUUAAGAAUGGAAAGAUUUGUACGUUUAUAUUUUUCAAAUGACGCGCACAAAUCGUAGGUCUGUUAACCUAGCUACGUAACGUGGUUGACCAUGACGUUCACAGCUAGCUUCAUGUUGCUACGCGAGCACGUGCUGUUAAUAUUACGUCAUGUUCGAGAGGUGGUCUUCUGUCAAAGGAUUCUUUUCGGUGACUUGUAAGGAAGAGAUUUGACGUGAAACGAAUCGACAUGAUACGGAAGAUUUGUAUGAUCGAAUGUAAGCACGGACACGGCAAUGGAACUGCAUGAAAAUAAAUUAAAUUUUAUUAACGAACGCAU
RNAcentral lists this long non-coding RNA (1581 nucleotides) under Eufriesea mexicana. RNAcentral's name for it is "uncharacterized LOC108545580". Lineage: Eukaryota; Metazoa; Arthropoda; Insecta; Hymenoptera; Apidae. The record is from RNAcentral.